RNAcentral lists this ribosomal RNA (687 nucleotides) under Bacillus sp. DNRA2. RNAcentral's name for it is "Bacterial large subunit ribosomal RNA". It matches the Rfam family "Bacterial large subunit ribosomal RNA", at positions 2238 to 2925 of the family's 2925-position model. The record is from Rfam by way of RNAcentral. Lineage: Bacteria; Bacillati; Bacillota; Bacilli; Caryophanales; Bacillaceae.
AUCGGGGUAGGAGACAGUGUCAGGUGGGCAGUUUGACUGGGGCGGUCGCCUCCUAAAAAGUAACGGAGGCGCCCAAAGGUUCCCUCAGAAUGGUUGGAAAUCAUUCGUAGAGUGUAAAGGCACAAGGGAGCUUGACUGCGAGACCUACAAGUCGAGCAGGGACGAAAGUCGGGCUUAGUGAUCCGGUGGUUCCGCAUGGAAGGGCCAUCGCUCAACGGAUAAAAGCUACCCCGGGGAUAACAGGCUUAUCUCCCCCAAGAGUCCACAUCGACGGGGAGGUUUGGCACCUCGAUGUCGGCUCAUCGCAUCCUGGGGCUGUAGUCGGUCCCAAGGGUUGGGCUGUUCGCCCAUUAAAGCGGUACGCGAGCUGGGUUCAGAACGUCGUGAGACAGUUCGGUCCCUAUCCGUCGUGGGCGUAGGAAAUUUGAGAGGAGCUGUCCUUAGUACGAGAGGACCGGGAUGGACGCACCGCUGGUGUACCAGUUGUCUUGCCAAAGGCAUCGCUGGGUAGCUAUGUGCGGACGGGAUAAGUGCUGAAAGCAUCUAAGCAUGAAGCCCCCCUCAAGAUGAGAUUUCCCAUAGCGUAAGCUAGUAAGAUCCCUGAAAGAUGAUCAGGUUGAUAGGUCAGAGAUGGAAGCGUGGCGACAUGUGGAGUUGACUGAUACUAAUAGAUCGAGGACUUAACCA